Molecule: non-coding RNA, 517 nt
Organism: Cyanistes caeruleus (blue tit)
Lineage: Eukaryota; Metazoa; Chordata; Aves; Passeriformes; Paridae
Source: RefSeq, a predicted model, not a curated record
AGCAAAUGGUUAUUUCUCAGUUUAUUUCUUUUGUAUAGAUAAGGCCUUUUAUGAAAGCACAUUUAAAUCGGGAUAAAGACAAGGAGCUUCUAAAGCUCACCCAAUACCUCAAAGAAAUAGCAAAAUUAGAUGACUUUUUGGAGCUGAAUCACAAACAUUGGGAAAGGUAUCUUUCAAAGAAGCAAGGACAAUAACACUAAUAAAACUGUGUGGCACUGAAUUGAAGGGAACAUCACUAAGAUCAUUGGACUUUUCCUUGCUUUUGUGCUAGAGUAUAAUAGUGCUGGACACUGGACCCAAUGCCAGAACGACUGCUAAACUUGGUCUUCCAGUUGGUUGGUUGUGGGUUUUUAAAAGAUCACAGCAAUAAGCUCAAAGUGGGAGAAACAAGUCAGUUGCUUUUUCUUGCAUUCAGUUCUGGUGUUACUUCUCAAAAUACUUUCCUCUCCUUUGCUGCUGAAGUACAACCAUAACCAUCAAAGACCAAAACCAUUCUGAGAAUAGAAAAAAAAAUAUU